RNAcentral lists this transfer RNA (72 nucleotides) under Camelus dromedarius (Arabian camel). It matches the Rfam family "tRNA". From Rfam's summary of the family: Transfer RNA (tRNA) molecules are approximately 80 nucleotides in length. Their secondary structure includes four short double-helical elements and three loops (D, anti-codon, and T loops). Lineage: Eukaryota; Metazoa; Chordata; Mammalia; Artiodactyla; Camelidae. The record is from Rfam by way of RNAcentral. RNAcentral also lists the same sequence under 2 other names.
GAGGAUGUAGUUCAGUGGUAGAGUGCAUACCUAGCAUGUACAAGGUCCUGGGUUCAAUUCCCAGUACCUUCA